RNAcentral lists this ribosomal RNA (253 nucleotides) under uncultured bacterium. RNAcentral's name for it is "partial 16S ribosomal RNA". It matches the Rfam family "Bacterial small subunit ribosomal RNA", at positions 524 to 776 of the family's 1533-position model. The record is from RNAcentral.
UACAGGGGGCUCGAGCGUUAGUCGGAAUCACUGGGCUUAAAGGGUGCGUAGGUGGCUCGUCAAGUGUUUUGUGAAAUCCCACAGCUCAACUGUGGAACAGCAGGGCAAACUGGCGAGCUUGAGGCAGGUAGGGGCCGGAAGAACAGUAGGUGGAGCGGUGAAAUGCGUAGAUAUCAAGCGGAACACCGGUGGCGAAGGCGGCCUUCUGGACAGUGACUGACGCUGAGACGCGAAAGCGUGGGGAGCAAACAGG